This 565-nucleotide ribosomal RNA is filed under the name Xylariales sp. HD-2014. RNAcentral's name for it is "eukaryotic LSU rRNA". The stretch from base 204 to 357 matches the Rfam family "5.8S ribosomal RNA". The record is from RNAcentral. Lineage: Eukaryota; Fungi; Ascomycota; Sordariomycetes; Xylariales.
CCCUAAGGUACGCGGAGGGACAUUAAAGAGAGCCUAAAAAACUCCCGCAAAACCCCAUGUGAACAUACCAUACGUUGCCUCGGCAGGCCCCAGACGCGCCUAGCGCGCGCACCCCCAGGGGGGGCGCGGCUGGGACCUGCCGGCGGCCCAAGCAAACCCUGUCGUCACUGAAUUCUGAGCCCGCAUGUAGGAAAUUAAGUUAAAACUUUCAACAACGGAUCUCUUGGUUCUGGCAUCGAUGAAGAACGCAGCGAAAUGCGAUAAGUAAUGUGAAUUGCAGAAUUCAGUGAAUCAUCGAAUCUUUGAACGCACAUUGCGCCCGCCAGUAUUCUGGCGGGCAUGCCUGUUCGAGCGUCAUUUCAACCCCUUAAGCCCCUGUUGCUUAGCGUUGGGAGCCUACGGCCCGCCGUAGCUCCUCAAAGUUAGUGGCGGAGCCGGCCCGCACCCCAGGCGUAGUAGUUCAGUCAGCUCGCCCGCGGUCGGACCAGUCCCCUGCCGUAAAACACCCCAUUCUCGCAAAGUUGACCUCGGAUCAGGUAGGGAUACCCGCUGAACUUAAGCAUAC